UUGCUUUCUCCGCCGGCGACCGGCGCACGGGUGAGUAACACGUAUGCAACCUGCCCCUGUCAGGGGGACAACCCGCCGAAAGGCGGGCUAAACCCGCGUACAUGCCACCGGGGCAUCCCGGAGGCAGGAAAGGCUUCGGCCGGACAGGGAUGGGCAUGCGGCGCAUUAGGCAGUAGGCGGGGUAACGGCCCACCUAACCGACGAUGCGUAGGGGUUCUGAGAGGAAGGUCCCCCACACUGGUACCGAGACACGGACCAGACUCCUACGGGAGGCAGCAG
Molecule: ribosomal RNA, 279 nt
Filed under: uncultured bacterium
Lineage: Bacteria
Description: partial 16S ribosomal RNA
Rfam family: Bacterial small subunit ribosomal RNA
Source: RNAcentral